AUCUACGGCCAUGCCACCGUGAACAAGCCUGAUCCCAUCUGAUUUUGGAAGCUAAGCAGGGUCGGGCCUGGUUAGUACUUGCAUGGGAGACCACCUAGGAAGACCAGGUGCUGUAGGCA
This 119-nucleotide ribosomal RNA is filed under the name Pteropus alecto (black flying fox). The record is from RNAcentral. Lineage: Eukaryota; Metazoa; Chordata; Mammalia; Chiroptera; Pteropodidae.